UGCACAUGUAAACGACCACUUCAGUAAAAUGCGGUCUUUUCUAUAAUUGCGGUGUAUGUAAAGGGAAAGGAACCUUAAGCUUUGCUUGGGGAACUAGAAAAUUUCCUCACAAAGACACCAUCUAGGCCCUGGUGGAAUCAUUACCUUGGAAGAGUAAUACUUCUCUUGAGGCAGUUAUGAUGGUUAGUGACUACUACUCCAGAAGUUUACCUCACAUUCUUGUCAGCCACCAAUUAAAAAAGAAGCCAACUGAAAAGACUUCAACAGGUGGUGGCUGGGUAAUGCUUUGCCCUGAAACUGAUAAGCCGGAAGGCUAAAGAAGUUUCAAGGAAGUCAGUCAGAAGUCUUGCAAAGACGGCUAUCAGGGGAGUUUCAAAGACUGAACCAUCUCAGGGUGAGAACUCCUGGUUGAGUGCUUUGGAGAAGGCCUGGGCUCCACGCGUGGGAAGAGUUCAGAGUCUGGCAUCAGGAGGUUGGACUCUUCUGGGAUCUCUUGAACUUUUUUUAUUGUCCCUAUGGAAGUGGGGCAAGUCACUCUUGAACGGCAAUCCCCAAGCUCCCUUGAUGGUGAACAGGAAGCCCCAGGCAGGUGUAUGUGUGCACAUAAGCAUAUAUGUAUUGAGAUGGGUAAUUACACCACCACUUCUGUGUACUUGAUAUGACCCAGCUUACAGCAUUUUGUCCCUUUAAGUAGAAAAUCUUUCUUCCUUUCUCUCUCUGUUUCCUUCCUCCUCCCCUCCCU
Molecule: long non-coding RNA, 742 nt
Organism: Ailuropoda melanoleuca (giant panda)
Lineage: Eukaryota; Metazoa; Chordata; Mammalia; Carnivora; Ursidae
Exons: 4
Source: RefSeq, a predicted model, not a curated record